This 272-nucleotide long non-coding RNA is filed under the name Lupinus angustifolius (narrow-leaved blue lupine). RNAcentral's name for it is "long non-coding RNA (LANG_LNC002164)". The record is from RNAcentral. Lineage: Eukaryota; Viridiplantae; Streptophyta; Magnoliopsida; Fabales; Fabaceae.
UGGAAAUAAUUAAAAGGGGUGAACCCCUUUCACCCCCAAACCCACGAAACCAGCAGAAAAUGAAAUGGGAAUAAAAUCCCUAAAACCAAAGUCCCACUUUUCUUCUCAAUUCCUUUCUUUUCACGCAGCAGGGAUGGCCAUGGCACGGAAUCCGUUUUCUUCCUUCUUUCCAAUCGGUAGUGUUCAUGGCGACUAAAGGUUGUUGAAGAUGGAAGCCGAAUUGAUCCAGCCGGAAGAACCUAUUUCAGUGACGGUUCGUGGUGGGUUGCGNN